GCCGAGGUGGCGGAAUUGGUAGACGCGCUGGACUCAAAAUCCAGUGAUAGUGAUAUCGUGCGGGUUCGAUUCCCGCCCUCGGCACCA
Molecule: transfer RNA, 87 nt
Filed under: Limnobacter litoralis
Lineage: Bacteria; Pseudomonadati; Pseudomonadota; Betaproteobacteria; Burkholderiales; Burkholderiaceae
Also listed under: 2 other names
Description: tRNA-Leu
Rfam family: tRNA
About the family: Transfer RNA (tRNA) molecules are approximately 80 nucleotides in length. Their secondary structure includes four short double-helical elements and three loops (D, anti-codon, and T loops).
Source: RNAcentral